This 500-nucleotide ribosomal RNA is filed under the name uncultured bacterium. RNAcentral describes it as "partial 16S ribosomal RNA". It matches the Rfam family "Bacterial small subunit ribosomal RNA", at positions 30 to 523 of the family's 1533-position model. The record is from RNAcentral.
AUUGAACGCUGGCGGAAUGCUUUACACAUGCAAGUCGAACGGCAGCACGGACUUCGGUCUGAUGGCGAGUGGCGAACGGGUGAGUAAUGUAUCGGAACGUGCCCAGUCGUGGGGGAUAACGUAGCGAAAAUUACGCUAAUACCGCAUACGAUCUAUGGAUGAAAGCGGGGGAUCGCAAGACCUCGCGCGAUUGGAGCGGCCGAUAUCAGAUUAGGUAGUUGGUGGGGUAAAGGCCCACCAAGCCAACGAUCGGUAGCUGGUCUGAGAGGACGACCAGCCACACUGGAACUGAGACACGGUCCAGACUCCUACGGGAGGCAGCAGUGGGGAAUUUUGGACAAUGGGCGAAAGCCUGAUCCAGCCAUUCCGCGUGCAGGAUGAAGGCCCUCGGGUUGUAAACUGCUUUUGUACAGAACGAAAAGGUUUCUACUAAUACUAGGAGCUCAUGACGGUACUGUAAGAAUAAGCACCGGCUAACUACGUGCCAGCCGCCGCCGUAA